GAAACCCCACCAAAACCCCCAAACCAGAACCGAACACCCUACUCUCUCUCCCUCCCUCUCUCAUGGCGGAAAAUCGCAAUCGCGAUUCCGACGAUACAACAACAACAUCAGGUCACAAUGCGGUCUUCGUCGACACCAGUCUCGACACCCAUCUCGCCGUGAUCGUUUCCGACUCCGAUACCGUCUCCGACCUCAAAAAGAAAAUUAUGAGCGAGCACUCACUGUGUUUUCCUAACUUUGGGGAGAUAAAAAUCAAUGCAUUGAAGGUUAAGCGGAAAAGAUGCUUCUAUCACCUAUCAGAUUCUAUGCUUGUUAAAAGUGCUUUUAAUGGUGCCAAGAAAUGUUGGUUUGUUUCUGUUGAUGCUUUUAGUUUAAAGCAGCAUGGUGAUAACCAAUUGCCCACUGAUCCUGCCGUAAGCAACCAACUAGCCGUAGUUUGUUUCACGAAAACUCCCACGGGUGAUUUGUAUGCAUCAUCCCCGAAGAUUGGUAACCCUGAAGUUGCUUCAGGUAACACUGGUGAAGACGUUUUAAACAAUGUGAAGAUGACGAGUAUGGGAGUUGAUGGGGAACCUUGCAAUACUUCAUUUCUUGUUAACAAUGUGAGGUCAGAUUUGGUAGAAAUCCAAGGAACACAUGUUGAAGAGGAACACUCAAAAUCCAGACCUGAUGCAAAGAAAAAGCGGAAGAGAGAAAGUAAAGGAGAUGAAAAUCCUUUAGAAGGAAACGAUACCUUGCUUGUUAUUGAAGACACUUUGAAGCCAAAGGAUAAAAUUCUUGAAAAUUCUAUGGGGUACAUGAAGAAUUGUAAAAUGAAUUCCGACAUGGCAUCUGUUGCUGCAAUAGUUUCUGAAAUAAACAUGCAGUAUGCAAAUCCUUCGGGAACUUUCGAAGUCCCUCAGAAGCAAAAGCACCAUAAAUCAGUCCAAGAGGUGGUGCAGCAAGAGAAAUUACGUUCUUCAGUUGAUUCUUUGUUUAGGGAACCUCCAGAAGAUGACCAUUUGGUAGCUGUUACUCAUGAAAAGAAGAAAAGCAAAAAGAUGAUGAAAUUACCAGCAGACCGUGUAAUCGAUGCUGAGCCCUCUUUUGGGAUAGAAGGUUGUAAGGAAAAUGUGGGAACUGCAUCCAAGGAUUCUGAUAAGACAUCUGGUUUGGUAAUGGUUUCUGAAAAAAAUGUUCAGCAUGCAACACUUUCUGGAACUGUAGUCUCUGAGAAGCAAAAGCGCAGUAAACCUGUCCAAGAAGUUGUGGAAGGGCACAAAUUACCUUCUUCAUCAAUGGAUUCUUUAUUUACUGAAGAUGGCGAUUUGGUAGCUGGUUCUAGUAGGGGGACGAAGGAAAGUAAAAAAAAAAAGAAAUUACCAACAGAUGAAGCGGUUAAUGCGAAGCUGUCUUCUGUGCAUGAUGUUGGGAUAGAAGGUUGCAAGGAAAAUAGGGGAAUUGUAUCCAAGGAUUCACACAAGGCAUCUGGUUUAGUAAUAGUUUCUGAACAAAACGAUCAGCGUGCAACACUUUCUGUGCAAGAAGUGGUGGAAGGGCACAAAUUACCUUCUUCAUCCAUGGAUUCUUUAUUUACCGAACGUACGGAAGAUGUCCAUUUGGUACCUCAUUCUAGCAGUGGGACGAAGAAGAGUAAAAAGAAGAAGAAAUUACCAACAGAUGAAGUGGCUAAUGCUGAGCCCAAGGAAAAUGUGGAGACUGUAUCCAAGGAUUCAGAUAAGGCAUCUGGUUCAGUGAUAGUUUCUGAACUAAACGUUCAGCAUGUGACACUUUCUGGGAUUGUCGAAGUAUCUCGGAAGCAAAAGCGCACUAAACCUGUCCAAGAAGUGGUGGAAGGGCACAAAUUACCUUCUUCAUCAGUGAGCAUUAAUGCAAACAGACCUGAUGCUGCAAAUGAAAAGGGAGAAACUGAUGCUCCUGAUUCAGGUGCUCGAAGUAGAUCAAAAGGGAGAAAAACUUCGAAAAAGCAUCACUCCACUAAUGUGGAAGGGUUUCCUUCGUUAGCUGUCUAUGAGUCCAAUAAUCUGAAGAAGGAUGACAUGCAGUCUCGGCAUGCAAAUAUUGCCCUUGAUGAUCAGAAUUUUGAAACCAAUCAUCCUCAAAAAAAUGAAGAGCGAAAGGAAUUGCCACGGAACCAUGAUCCUGAAGCAAUGCUGUCUGGAAAGUGUGAACCUCCGAUUCAUGGUGAAGCAGAUAUGCAUUCUAAAAAAUCUGUUGUCUCGGAUAAUUUGUUAGAAAGCACCAUAGUCAUGGAGUCUGGGAAAUCUGCUGGCAGUGGAAGGAUGAAAAUGAGUGCGAAGAAAUCUGUUGCAACAAAGAAGGUAAUUUCAAGCAAGGAGCAUGUUGAUAAUUCUGUUAGUGGUAUCUCUUCGCAGGUGCCUCGUUUUGAUGAUCACUCCUCUGGUGAAGCUAAGAAAGAAAGCUUCUUGUCUCCGACUAAAACGAAAAAGAUGUCGAAACGAAAGACUGUGGAUACUUCUAUUGUUGGUGCUAAUGGGCAAAGUGAUGGUGCGUGUGGAAAUGAAGCAGAAUCAUUGCCGCCAACUCGAGUAGAUAAAACUCAGCGGAAUGCAGAAACUAGUGAUGGCAACUUAAGAAAGAAAGUGGAAAAGAAUGAUGAUGAUGAUGGUAAUGCUUCUAAGAGUUGCAAAUCGACUGAUGCUAAUUAUCAUAGAGAAGUUUCUAAGUGUGAUGGUGAUAGCAUUAAUUUCAAAGACUACUUCAUGCCUGGAGACCGUAACCAUGAAGUUACACCUGUUGAGUUGGUUGUUGACAACGUGAGUGAAGCAAAAGGAUCAGAUAAGGAAACGAAAACUAAAAAGAAUGCCAAAAAGGUUGUUUUACCUUCUCCAGCCACCUCUCAUGAUCCAGGAAACUCAAUCAACUCAUAUGUAAACCAGGGAAGUGACAGAAGAUCUCAGGGAGUUUCAAAAGCUUCCCGUAAAAAAAUGGGGGAAGUUGUGAACAGUUCACGGCAGGAAAAGAGUUUGUUGGCUACUCCUGGUGCCAUUUUUAAUGGCAGUAGUGAGAGUUCUGAAGAUGAGAGCACGACUGCGAAUUCAGAUUCCAGCACCAAAACCCCGUCAGAUAAUUCAUCUUCAUCAGGUUUCUCGGAAGGGGAUGGCAAGUUAAAUCUGGACUCAUCAAGAAAUGGAACUUCUGGUGCAAAAGAUAACGAUGGCGGGAAAAGCAUCACAAAAUCCCAAGCUUUGGCCUCCAAAAAUUUAACAUUGGAUAGGAUUCUUAAAAGUUCAAGCAGAUUCAAGAAGGCCAAGCUCACAGCAACUCAGUCACAACUUGAAGACGCUGAAAGUCAGCCUGUUGAUUUUGUUCCGGAUGGUCAAGCGAGCCUGUAAUGACUAGAGAUACCUCUGUGGUUUGGUUCAGAUACCUCUGCAGUUAUGCAAAAGAGAUAUGGACAUACGGCCUAGGGGUUUGGUUACAAGUUGGGUUUUGGGUGCAAAGGACGUAACCGUGGUUAUGAUUCUUGGAAGUUCAAGCAGAUUCAAGAAGGCCAAGCUCACAGCAACUCAAUCACUACUAGAAGAAACGGAAGGUCCAGCUUUUGAUUUUCUACAAAGACAGUCCAGGAAGCUGCAAUUGCCCAAGGCGGGUUGCUCCUUGGCAAUUUUGCUUGUCCACCUUUUUGUAUUAUCUAUCCCUUUGCAAAAUAGACGGUUAAUAUUUUUGAGUUUUGAGAUUGUGGCAUUUCACCUAUGUCCUCUGCUGGACACAUUUUGUUCUUGUUUUGAAAUGGAAGGCUUGUAAUGACAGAAUCGAAAGGUGUCAAUCACCUGCCUAUGUUAUUGUAUUACGGGAUGAGCUAUUUUCCUCGA
Molecule: RNA transcript, 3836 nt
Organism: Rhododendron vialii
Lineage: Eukaryota; Viridiplantae; Streptophyta; Magnoliopsida; Ericales; Ericaceae
Exons: 11
Source: RefSeq, a predicted model, not a curated record